AUUGAACGCUGGCGGCAGGCUUAACACAUGCAAGUCGAGCGGUAGCACAAGAGAGCUUGCUCUCUGGGUGACGAGCGGCGGACGGGUGAGUAAUGUCUGGGAAACUGCCUGAUGGAGGGGGAUAACUACUGGAAACGGUAGCUAAUACCGCAUAACGUCGCAAGACCAAAGAGGGGGACCUUCGGGCCUCUUGCCAUCAGAUGUGCCCAGAUGGGAUUAGCUAGUAGGUGGGGUAAUGGCUCACCUAGGCGACGAUCCCUAGCUGGUCUGAGAGGAUGACCAGCCAAACUGGAACUGAGACACGGUCCGGACUCCUACGGGAGGCAGCAGUGGGGAAUAUGGCACAAUGGGCGCAAGCCUGAGGCAGCCAUGCCGCGUGUGUGAAGAAGGCCUUCGGGUUGUAAAGCACUUUCAGCGAGGAGGAAGGUGGUGAACUUAAUCCGUUCAUCAAUUGACGUUACUCGAAGAAGAAGCACCUGCAAACUCCGU
This 489-nucleotide ribosomal RNA is filed under the name uncultured bacterium. RNAcentral's name for it is "partial 16S ribosomal RNA". It matches the Rfam family "Bacterial small subunit ribosomal RNA", at positions 30 to 506 of the family's 1533-position model. The record is from RNAcentral.